This 1607-nucleotide long non-coding RNA is filed under the name Homo sapiens (human). RNAcentral describes it as "HSALNT0402836". The record is from RNAcentral. Lineage: Eukaryota; Metazoa; Chordata; Mammalia; Primates; Hominidae.
GCUUCGGUCACAGUGACCGCCACCGUUGCCAAGGGAUGGGUCCCUGAGACUUGGCGAAGUGGGAGCCCUGUGUGAUCGUGCGUCAGAGUCGGGGCUGAGACCAGCCCCGGCCAGGGUAGUUACCGGGACGGUCUCCGGAGGCCGGGAUUCGCGGAGGGUCCACCAGCAGGAAGAAACCCCAGGAGGAAGAAACCUCAGACAGAUCGCCGGGGAGGCAGCGCGGGAUCCCAGCCUCAGGCGUGCGCGGACGGUGUGCGGGUCAGCCAAAGAGGAGCAAAGAGUCAUCUACCUCAAUCAUGUUCAGGAAAUGAUCAGGUCAAGAUGUGGAGUGAGCAAGCUUUUCUCUUUUGUGCCACAUUUUCUGACCCAGUAUUUCAAGCUACCCAAGGUGCGAAAAAGAAAGAAGGCCGAAGGGAAGAAGGUGGUGCUCACCCUUGCUGUCUUGAAAAAGCAGGAGACCAUGAAAGUGGUGAAUCUUCCAUUUGAGAAAUUUGGCACUGGACAGGACAUUUUGGCAUUGGACAGAACAUCCAGCCCAAAAGGGACCUCACUUACUUUGUCAAAUGGCCCCAUUAUACUAGGUUGCAGCAGCAGAGAGCCAUCCUCUAUAAACAGCUAGAAGUGCCUUCUGUGAUUAAUCAGUUCACCAGGGCCUUGGACCACCAAACAGCUGCUCAAUGGGGGCCCAGUGCAAAAUGACGUGGAUGUUGUACCUCGUUCAAAGUGUUAAGCGUUUCAAGAUGGCAACAGCAGAGCAUUAGGCCAAGUAUGAGGUCAUUAUGUACAUGGGUCCUUGUGUGACCACACAGGUCACAGGAACAUGAAGCUAGACCUGAGUGUAUAUUCAGAUAGGUAAAUCUUACAGAUUUUUAAAACUCAAUAAAAGAAAAACUACAUUUCAUGUGUGAACACAAAAAUUGGAAUUAAAUUGGCAAUAGCAUUGGGAUUUGUGCUCAGAGUCACAGUUUACAUCUGACCACAAUUUCUAUAUGAAUUUUUUAAGAUAAAACAGUAAGAAUUUUAGAGAAGGUUUCUGAAAUUUAAAAAUUAUAAUAACAUAAUUAACUUUGAUAUUUUAAUUCCAUGUAAUUUAAAACAUUUAAUAGAUAUAUAAUGUUCCACUAUUAAUUUAACUAGAAGUAUAAAAAUAAAACAUAUAUAAUAAAAAUAUUCUACUGAUUUUUAAAUUAUCUAUAUUAUACUGAGUAAAAGAAAAUUUAGGAAUAUAAAUAAAUGAGCAUUUUUGAACAUGUAAAAAUAUUUUCUUGCUGUUUUUAGGAGACUUUUAGCAGGACAGGAGCUUACCUCUCAUCUACCUCUGCUUGGACAAACCAGUGAUGUGAUUUGCAAAUAGGCUGUAACUUCACCGAAAACACAUCACAGUAAAGAAAAGCAGUGACUUUCAGAGAAUUUGACCUAACUUAGAAUUUGUAAAAGAGAAAAGCAUUGUCCUUAUGCCUAAAGUACAUGACUGUUUCUUUUUAAGUUACAUGUAUAUUUACCUGACCAAUUUGUUUUACUCUGUAUUUUAAGUUAUCAGGUGAAAUGGUUUUGGAAUAAAUUAAUGAGUUGUUUGUUCUGAAUAAAUGUGCAUGUUACAAGUGCAA